UAUCUAUUUAUGAAAAAGUUAGAAACCUAAGGUUAGUUUUUCCCUAUAAAUAAAGGGGUUUUCCUUCAUUGUAAUUCACCAAUCAAGAAAUCCCUCAAGAGAAAUAAGAAUUACUAUCUAUUCUCUUUCUACUCUUAUUCUUUAUUCUGUAUUAUUUUAUAACAAAUAAAGCUUUAUGAUUUCCUAUAAAGCAAGGAUCUCCAAAUAAAGAAAAUUUCAAGAGAGAACAUAAUGUCCCAAAAAUGCUAUGCAUGAAAAGCUCUUUUUUCUCUUUAGUAUUAUAUGUGUUUUUAUUUAUAUGUUUCUCGAUUGAUAACUUUGUUUACUCUUUAUUGGUUACUAAGUUAAGAAUCUUUGUAAGUAUGUAGGGGUGAUUUGAAAUUGGAACGGCGAUAUGUUGAUUUAAAGAUUGAGUUAGAAAGAGAUGCUAGCUAGCUCAGCCCUAAAUGAGUUAGUGGGACUGAAUAUGAUAGUGGUAUGUAUGAAUCUAUUAAUGGUGAGAGGUGGAGGUACCUCGUGAAUUUAGUUGAGGUGCACGAAAGAUGUACAAACAACACAGUUAUAAAAAGAAAGAAAAAAAGGGCUAUUGACAUAGCAUUCUCACAUCGUGGCAUUGAAUAAUAUGAUACAACUACAUUUGAUGAGAUGUAACUUUGAAAAAGUUCACAUUAGAAUGAUCUAGAAACAAAGAAUCAGUACUAAUGGCAUAAAUAUACAAAUUUACAUAGAGAAUAGACAUUAGACAUUCAAUGUGGCAUGAUUUUAGGCCAAAAUUUAACAAGAAAUAAUUUAUGAUCUCAAUUGAUAGGGAUCGAACCUACACCGGUAGAAUACUAGAAAUCAAUUAAAAGUAUGACAUGACCAACCUAGGGACAUGACUCUAGUAGAAGCGUCAAUCCAAUUUUCAGUUGGCAAUGUACAUAAUAUGUAAAUAAAGAGAAAGAGAUAAAAUAGUCCCACUCUUCCAUUUCAAUAACCUCUCUUACUUCUCCCCCACCCCACCUAAGAAUGUAACAUAUGGAAAAAGAAACGGCAUCCCAUUGAUGAUUGAUGAUGUUUCAAGUGCUCAGCCCAAUGCAAAUACUAUAGAGUUUUUAAGAUCCAUGUGUCGAGGAUUCAUAUUUUCAGCUAUCUAUACUGGCUAUUGUGGAAUAUGAGAAAUAUAGCAUAAAUCAAAUAGACUUUUGAAGAUAGCAUGAUAUAUAAACGGACAACAUGAUAUAUAAAUCAUAUCACAUUUACUCCCCAAGGGUGUAUAAUGUAGAAUAUCUACCUGACACGAGAUACACAAGCAUUAGUGAUUAUGACAACAUUUGGGUAAAACAAGAAACAGACAACAAUUAACAGUUUAAAUAUCUAAAGGUGAUUAUUUGUGAACAUAGAAAAUAGUUGUGGCAGAGUAGAAUAUCGAUCACUAUUUUUCUAAUAAACGAAAUAAAUCAUUUUCAAUACGAUUAACAUUUUCUCCAUGAGGAUUAGAUCUAACCCCAAAAAAAAGAUGACAUGAGAACCUAAAUUUAUACCAAUAAAAGUCCACAUAACUUUUUACCCGUCAUUAAAAGAUUUUAUGAUAAAUAAAAUUAUCAUGUGUUAUUUUCCUAGAAUAAUUAUCAUUUAAUUAUUAUUCUAAUAUUUAGGACUUUAAAAUUAAUUAAAACUAUAACUAUUAAAUAUAAACUUAUUUUCAAGUGGUAAGAACUCUUAAUAUUUAGAACUUAAAGUUGGCUAAAAUUUUACUUCUUAGAUUUUGUAAGAUCCCGCAAAAUUUCAUAAUUUAUUUUUUAUCCUCCCGCGUGCGUAAUGUCAACUUCUAACUUGAAUUAUGAUUAAAAAUAUUAAAAGAGUGUUUUGAGAAAGUUUAAGAAUUAUUGAAAGGGGUUCAGGACCAUUUUGGGACUCCGAAGUAGUAAGCCUCUGUAAUAGUGGUGUGCCACCCCACUUAGCUUUCGCGAUAAGGGCGUGACACAGAGGCAAAGCUCCACAAUAGUGGUGUGCCACUCCGCUAUGUUAAAUUGUCUAUUUUUGUUUAUUUUUCACUUGGGGUGAGGGGUUCUUGGUCCUUUUACCUCUUGCACGACUUUGAAACACUCCAUUGACCUUUUUCCUUAAGUCAUCAAAGAUCAAACACCAUCCUUUUUCUCUUUAACUCUAACCCCAAGAAAGUUCAAGGGUGUUAUAGAGAAUUCAUCAUUCGGGCUUCCAACUUUGAUUUCUCUUCAAAUUCUUUGGUAUUUCAGGCAUGUUUCUCAUCCUUAGCUAGAAUUCUACAUUAUGACCUAUAUUUAAUCAUUAUUCAUGUGAUUUUAAUUUUUGGGUUUUGAAAUUGGAUUGAGGGAUUUUGAUGGUUAUUACUUGGAUUGUAUUUUUCAUGAUUUAAAUAUGUUGUUUAUACUUUAAUUGAUGAUUUUGGGGUUGAAAGGGUGCAUUGUUAUGAGAACUGGAAUGAAAAAUAUGGGUUUCCCCAAAAUUGAUGAAAAUUUGGCUUGAUAGUGGCAUUAACCUUAACCUACAUUGAAAUCUUGGUUUCUAAUAUAGAACUUGCAUGAUUUUACUUACUUUUGGAACAUUGCAUUAAAGGAUAAUAGAUACUAAAAAUGAUUUUGGAAUGCCCUUGGUUGCAACGGUUUAGAUUUUUAAAUAGAACUUGGAAGUCUAAUAGUUAUAUGAAUUUGGUUGGGCAUAACUGAAUUAACUUGCAAACAUAUUGAUAUGACGAUACCAUAUUUGGAAAUGCAUUAAAAAUGACUCCUUGGUCAAUGAUUGGAUUUAUGUGCAAACUACUUUAAUUUGAAUUUAAAGAGAAUUGUGUAGUUCACAGUGAAGGUAUAGUCUCGAGGGAACCAAUAUUGAAAAUCAUAUUUAUCGACAUGGGGUUCUAUUUGACUAUGUGCUUGAUGUACACUUUAUAUUUUUUUGAAUGGCUAUCGCCUUGGUGUCUUUAUCCUUUCCUUAGCUUUCUUAGAACAUAUAGCUAACACGCACUAGGGUCCUUCUGGCAGGGGGAAUCAGACCCAUAUAGCCCAUGGGUUCCUUUAGGACAGAACGAGUUGCAUAGUUCAGGCUAAGGAUUUAAAUUUUUAUGUUCAUGACCCUUGCCCCUAUCCUGACAUCCUAUAUUUAUUAAUAUUAUGUAGGUGGUUUGAAAUACCCCAAGUGUCGAUCUCUGAGAAAUUUUUGAAAUUUCGUACUCACUGUCCCGUCUAUGACUUACCCUAUGAGUCGUAGAAAGUCUUAACAAUUCAUAGGGAGUCUUAAAUAUUUUUUGAUAUCAGAGCUUAGGUUUCAUGUCAUUAGGUGUACACAAAGCCAUAUCAAGUAGAGUCUCUUUUAUAGGUAUGUUGCGUGCCACACUUAUAAGGGAGAGGCUAUGAGACAUUUAGGAAUGUUUCCCUUUCUUGUUGUUUUAUUUCAAGCUAUAGAGCCUAAGAUCUUGAAAUCUCCUCUAAUUCUCGUAUGUUUGAUUUUCAUAUCAUGCCUACCAGAAGAUCUAAUGUUCAUGGAAACUCUUCUGUACCGUCUAAGAAUAAUGAGGACAGAGCUCAUCAUACUCAAGGAGUUUAGACCCGUUCUAGGGUCACUGCUUCUGAUUCCCGUAGUGGAGUUUCACCAGUUCCCCUAGUCCUCAUCGGCCACCUCAGAUGGGUGUAUCUAAUGUUGAGUUUUGCCAGUCAACCCAGUUGGUGGCCUUUCAGAAUGAGUAUGUUUCUUCUAUUGCUCCAUCCUCAGAGGUCACUAGAUUUGGCCAAUUUAUGAGGUUGAGUCCUCUAACUUUUAGUGGCUCUAAAGUUGAGAAAGACCCUCAAAAUUUUAUUGAUAGAAUAGACAAAUUUUUUUGUGUAAUGCAUGUUAUUGAUGUGGAGGGGGUGGAGUUUGUUUCUUAUCAAUUGAAGGAUAUGGCAUAUCAAUGUAUGUGGAAUCAGAACAGCCUAGGGGUGCUGAUGCCGAGUUUGCUUUGUGGGAUGGCUUCUCUAGUACUUUUCUUAAUCACUUCUUUCCUCAGGAGUUGAGGGAGGAGAAGGUUGAGGAAUUCUUGAAUUUAAAGCAAGGCAGGAUGACAGUAAAGAAGCAUGCCUUGAAGUUUCAUUAGUUGUCGUGAUAUGCUCCAGAAUUAGUUUCUAGUAUAAAGGCUAAAAUGAGGAAGUUUUCUUCUGGGUUGUCUCGUAAUUUGAUCUUGGAAAGCAAGUCUGCCUUGUUGAACAAGGAUAUGGGCAUCUCCAUACUUGUGGUGUAUAUGUAAUAAGUGAAAGAGGAAAAUAAAAAUUAAGUGGAGAUAAGUGAAAGGCAGAAUAAGAAGUUUCGAUACUUAUAUCAGGGUGGAGGUCUACAGUAGAGUGGUAGAGAUCGUGGAAAAUAGUCUAAAAAGAAGUGGGGCAAUUCUGGUUCCUACAUUAUGGCUAGUGCUCCUUAUCCAAAGCUGUUGGUUGAUCGUCAUUUUAGAAUAGUAUGAGUCCAAGGGUACAGGGUUCCUAGCCUCAGACUAGUGAGGCUCAGUCAGCUCCAUCAUAUCCCCCUUGUAGAUUUGUGGUCAGGUGCAUCGUGGUAUUUGUGAAAAGGGGAGGAACAAGUGCUUUAAAUAUGGUCAGAUUGGUCACAUGAAGAGAGAUUGUCCUUCUAAGGUUGCUUCUGGGGAGAAUAAGAUUCUUGUUUCUACUUCAUCAGCUCCUACACCAAAGUGUGCUACUUUUGCUUCUGCCUUCGGUACUAGUCGAAAUCGUCUAUACGCUCUUACCACCUACCAGGAUUCUGAGGCAUCCUAUGAUAUUGUUACUAGUAUGCUCAAACUUUUCUCUUAUGAUGUAUAUUGUCUACUUGAUCCCGGGCGUACCCUGUCUUAUGUGAUCCUUUGUAUGGCUGUUCAUUUUGGUUUUGACCAUGAGUAUAUUUCGAAUCCCUUCUCUGUGUCCACCCCGAUGGGUGACUUCAUUAUGGCUAGAAGGGUCUAUAGGGGUUGUGUAAUGACGUUUUAUGGUAGGGACACCCUGGUGGAUCUGAUAGAGUUCGACCUAUUAGACUUUGAUAUGAUUUUGGGGAUGAAUUGGUUGCAUUUGUGCUAUGUGUCUCUUGAUUUUUGGACCCAAAGGGUCAGUUUUCACUUCCCUAAUGAGCCGGUGAUUGAGUGGGAAGAUAGUUUCCUAGUGCCUAAGGGAAGGUUGAUUUUGUAUCUUAGCGCCCGAAAAUUGGUAUUUAAGGGGUGCCUCUAUCACUUAGUGCAUGUUAAGGAUUCUAGAUUCAAAGGUCCUUCUUUGUAGACUAUCCAUGUGGUCUGUGAAUUCCCAGAGGUGUUCCUUGAUGGUAAUUCUGGUGUUCCUCCCUAUAGGGAAAUUGAUUUUGGGAUUCAUCUUCUUUCGAACACUCGCCCUAUUUCUAUCCCUUAUUACAAAGUGGCUUCGGCUGAGUUGAAAAAACUCAAGGAGCAGUUGAAAGAUCUUCUGGAUAAGGUUUUUAUUUGUCGUAGUGUUUCUCCUUGGGGUUCUCUGGUUCUAUUUGUGGUAAGAAGGGUGGGUCCCUUCAAAUGUGUAUAAAUUACCGAUAAUUGAAUAAGGUGACCAUAAAGAAAAGGUAUCCCCUUCCAAGAAUUGAUGAUCUCUUUGAUCAGCUUCAGGGUGUUAAGUACUUUUUUAAGAUUGAUCUUCGGUUAGGUACCAUCAGUUUAAGGUUAGGGAGUUCGAUAUCCCUAAGACUACUUUUCUAACUUGGAAUGGUCAUUUUGAGUUCUUGGUGAUGUCCUUUGUUUGACUAAUGCCUUGACAAUAUUUAUGAAACUAAUGAACUGGGUACUCUGUUAGUUCUUGGAUUUGUUCAUAAUUGUAUUUAUUGAUGAUAUUUUGGUGUAUUCUAAGAGUGAGGCGAAUCAUGCUGAUCAUCUCCGCCUUGUGUUGCAAACCUUAAAACAUCAGUGGUUGUAUGUGAAGUUCUCAAAAUAUGAGUUUUGAUUAAAUGUUAUAACUUAUCAGGGUUAUGUUGUUUAUAGUGAAAGGAUAAUGGUGGAUCUAUAGAAAGUUACGGUGGUUAAGAAGCGGCCUACACCCAUAAUUUUAAUUAACAUUUGGAGCUUCUUGGGUUUAGCCGGUUAUUAUAGAAGGUUUGCAAAAAAUUUCUCUUCUAUUGUUGCCCUAUUGACUAAGUUGACUCAAAAAAUGUAAAGUUCUUAUGGUUUGAUGCCUGUAAGGGUAGUUUUGAGAAGUUGAAGGAUAAGUUAACUUUGACUCUGGUUUUGACUCUACCUAAGGGUAUUGAUGGUUUGUUGUCUAUUGUGAUGCAUCCCGAGUGGGACAAGUUUGUGUGUUGAUGUAGCAUGACAAGGUGUUUCCAUAUUCUUCUAGACAGUUGAAGGUUCGUGAGAAGAAUUAUCUAACUUAUGAUUUCGAAUUAUUCGUGGUCAUAUUUGCAUUAAAGAUCUACGACAUUAUUUGUAUGGGGUACAUAUGGAUAUUUAUUCUGAUCAUAAGAUUCCUCAAUAUAUGUUUACUCAGAAGAAGCUAAAUCUCAGGCAAAGGAGGUGGCUUGUGUUACUAAAGGACUAUGACAUAAGUCUCCACUAUCACCUAGGUAAAGCUAACGUGGUUGUUGAUGUUCUUAGCAGGUUGUUCAUGGGGAGCUUAUCUCAUGUGGACGAGGGGGAAUGGGAUUUGGUGAAGGACAUUCAUAUUAGGCUAAUCUUAGAGUCCAUCUCUUUGAUCCCAAGAAUGGUGGUGUAAUUAUUCAAGAGGUGGCGAAGUCAUAUCUUGGUGCUGAGGUAAAGAAGAAACAAGUGUUGGACCCUAUUUUGAUGUAGAUCAAGGAGGAUAUAGGUACGUAGAAAGUAAUGGCUUUUGAGAUUCAUGGUGACGUUAUCUUGAGGUACUAAGGUAGAUUAUGUAUUCUCGAUGUUAAUGGGUUGCGAGGAAGAAUUUUGGCCAAAGCUCAUUAGUCGCAUUAUACUAUUCAUCCUAGUUCGACGAAGAUAUAUCAUGACUUAAGAGAAAUUUAUUAGUGGAAUAACUUGAAGAGGGAUAUGGCUAAUUUUAUCUCUAAGUGCAUGGUAUGCCAGCAAUUAAAGGUGGAGCACCUGAGGCUCGAUGGAUUAUUUUAAGAAUUGAGCUACUUGUGUAGAAAUGGGAAAUAAUAUGGAUUUCGUUACUGGUCUUCCACGGUCUCUCUAUAAGUUUGAUUCUAUUUGGGUCAUCGUGGAUAAGAUGACUAAGUCCACUCACUUCUUGCCAGUGAGGACUAACUAUUCAGUGAAAGAUUAUGCUAAGAUCUUCAUUGAGGAGAUUGUGAAGUUGCAUGGUGCCCUCGGUCCAUUAUAUCUUAUCAAGGUACUCAAUUCUCAUCUUACUUUUGGCGUUUCUUUUAGAGAAUUUUAGGGACUAAGAUGAGCCUUAGUACCGCCUUCCACCCGAGACGGAUGGGUAAGCGGAGAGAACCAUUCAAACAUUGGGGGAUAUGCUCAUAUCUUGUGUAAUUGACUUUUGUGAUAGUUGGGUUGACCAUUUGCCUCUCAUAGGAUUUGCCUACAAUAAUAGUUAUCACUCUAGCAUUAGUAUGGUUUCAUUUGAUGCCUUGUAUUGUAGAGGUGUAGGUCUUGUAUUGGGUGGUUUAAAGUUGGUGAAGAUAGGUUAUUUGGUCUUGAUUUUGUUUACCAAGCCAUGGAGAAGGUGAAGGUGAUUUAGGAUAGGCUUAAGACCGCCCAAAGUAGCCAAAAGUCCUACGCGGAUGUGAGGCGAAGGGAGUUGGAGUUUAAUGUUAGUGACUAGGUGUUCAUAAAGGUGUCUCCCAUAAAGGGCAUGAUGCAGUUUGGGAAGAAGGGGAAGCUUAGUCCCCAUUAUGUUGGUCCAUUUUUGGUUUUGAUGAGGGUUGGCAAUAUUGCAUAUGAAUUAAAGUUUCCUUCUAGUUUGAGCACCAUUCAUUCGGCCUUCCAUGUUUCGAUGUUGAGGAAGUGUGUGGGUGAUCCUUCAUUGGUUAUUCCUUUUGGAAGGUGUAGGCAUUUCGAAUUUCUUGUUGUAUGGGGAAGAUUCAGUGGAGAUAUUAGGUCGGCAAGUCCAUUGGUUACGGACGAAGGAUGUGGCUUCAGUAAAGGUUCUUUGGAGGAACAAAAACUAUAAAGAAUCUACUUAGGAAGCCGAGGAGGACAUGAAGGCCAAGUAGCCAUUCCUAUUCCCUACUCCAGAAAAUCAUGCGUAAGGUAUGUGUGAUCUUAACAUGUUUGAUUCCUGUCUUUGUUAAAGGUAAGUGUGGGUGCAUUUCUAUGUUAAAUUAUGUUAAGGGAUACCUUGACCUAUUAUUCUAGGAUGAAUAAUCCUAAGGGGGGAGAAUGAAAUACACCAGGUGUCGAUCUCUAAGAAAUUUCUAAAAUUCAUCCUUCCUAUCCUAACUAUGACUUACCCUGGGAGUCAUAGGGAGUCAUAACGAGUUGUUGGACCCAUAUCAUAGUCCUACCAGUAUAUGUGGCUAAGUUUUCUACUCUGAGUAUCAGUGGCUCAUUACGGGUCAUUGUGUGCAAAUCAUAGGAUGUAUAGGGUUUACCCAAAUGGUUAUUAUGUUGAAUAAGAUUGGACCCUACGAGUCAUAGAGUCUAAUUAUGAGCCACGAUAUAUGAGUCGUAAGGUCAACAGUGUGUGCCUGGUGACAUUGUCUUGACGAAUCGCUAUGAGACCCGUAAUGACUGACAGUUUAUUUUCCAGCUUUUAAUAGGGGUAUUUUAGAUAUUUCCCUCUUAUCCCAAUAACCACGACCUAUAAACAUACUUGGGGCCCUAUUUUUAUUGAUAACACGCUCCAAACAUUCUCUCUUCUCUCUCAAGUCUCUUAAUCUAUACUUAGGGUUUCCAAAAAGAAGGUCAAGGACAGCUUCGGGGUUGAAUUCUCUCCAUAAUCUUGAAUAUUUCAGGCAUGUUACUCUUGUCUAAUUGCUGCUAUGUUAAAAGCAUAUGUUUUAACGUAUUAUUCAUAUGAUUUUAAUAUUGGUUUUGGAACAUGGGUUAAGCAUUUUGAAUAUUUGUGUUUGAAUAAUGUUUUCCCAUGGUUUACAUAUGAUUGUUCAUGCUUUAAUUAUGGUUUUGAACUUGUGGAGUGCAUGGGUAUGGUGAAUAAGCUAUGGGAUUAUGAUUUUCCUCAAUUUGUGAAUAUUGAUAAUUGAAGUGGUAAUGACCUCAACUCCUCUAUUGUGAAAUUGGAUUUGAAUAUGAAAAGUAUGCACAUUGAUCUACUCUUGAACUAUUGUGUAGGGUGGAAAUUUAAUGAAGCAUAAUGAUUUUGAAUUGAACCUUAUGGGUGGUGUAAUUCCCCAAGCUAAUAUAUAUAUUUGAACUAAAAAGAUUAUAAAUUUCCCUAAAUAUUGAUAAUUGGUUGGCAUCUUAAUGUUACAUUGCAAGUGUAGUUGGUAUGAUGAUACCAACAGUGUAUGCCUAAAUGUGUAUCAUGGUUCAAUAAAUGGAAAUGUGUGAUAAAUGAUUUAAUUGGGCUUUAAUGAGGAUUGUGUAGCUAAGUCGUGAAAGUGGAGGUCCUAAGGGACCAAUACUAGAAAUCACAAUUGUCGAUGUGAGGGUCUAAAUAACCGGGUGGUUCGAGUCCCCCUUAUUAUUAUUAUAUGAUCGGUAGGUUUGAAUCUCCCGUAUUAUAUCACAUGAUUGGGUGCUUAAGUCACCUUUGUAUGCCGGGAGGUUCGAGUUCCCCAUGGUGCAUAUGUAUAUUUUCGGGUUUGUGCGGCUAUAUAUACUGAGGCCCUUCCAGCCAGGGGUCUUCUCAUGGUAUAACGAUCGAGAUACACAAUCCAAGUUAAAGUUUGAAAGUGAAUGUUAAGCCUUGUUCCCUUUCUUGGCAUAUUAUUUAUAUAUGUAUUAUGAUGUGGUUCAUAUGGUAUUUAAAAUGAUCAGACUUGACAUUAUUUUGUCCCUUAUCCCAGAGUUUCAUGCUGAUGUUCACCCUAUUAAUCAUCUCCAGAUGUUUUAUCCCCAUGUGAUACAGGCACCAAAGAUACUUCUACUUUUCUUAUGUUGAGUUAGGUGGAUCGUCUUGGUUCAUUGGUUCAUUGGUGAAGUGGUGAAGGGGGUGGUCUCCGAUCCUUAUUGGACUUGAGAUACUCAUCACGGCCAGGCCCUGGUUUGGGUCGUGACAUAGUUUGACUGGUUUUUGGAAAUACCAUUAUUUUAUCCUUCUCCUCUAAGCUAUAUGCCAGUGCUCGCCCCAUUGACUGCCCUGGAUGCUGCAUCAUUUCAUUAUAUAGGGUUCAAGGGCUUUCCCGUGUAGCGUUGGGUGAUCUGGUACUCCUAUGGAUCUGAUGUGAAGUGAUUAUGAGAUGGAAAGAUGUAGAUUUGAGCUAAAAAGGAUCAAAAAUAAGAAAAAAAGUGCAGCUAGAAGACCUAAAGAAGAAACAAGCCUUAGUUACUGUGACAAGGUAUUUGGGCCGCGAUCGCGGCCAAUCAAGCAGGUCAAAGUACCGCGAUUGCGUGGUUCUAACCGCGGAAGUGGUAGCCGCGAUCGUGAACAAUUGUCAGCAAUUGCAGCAACACGGGAUUCUGCCCAGGGGUUGUUUUAUAAUUUACACAGACAUCCCUAAUUCCCUUAAGUGGUCCAAACCCUUUCUCAUUGGGAACAAUCCCUAAUUUUUGGGAACUCUCUUCUACCAUCUAGUUUCUAAUUUGAAGGGAACAUAUUUGUACUAAUUUUUGGGGUGAAGAAUACAUUAGAGUAACUUCUAAGAGGAAUAUUAGCAAACUCCAUUGAAUAUUUGUUGAGAUUUAAGGAUUGAAUUUGCAUUCUCUUUAUCUUUCAUGAAUCAAUUUGAUGGAGGUUUUUGUAUAUCUUUGUUUAUUAUUCUCAUAAGUUGCUAGUUUUUCCUCUUGGGGCUAUGUUUGAAUAGGGUGAAAGAGUGUGUGGGUUGUUAUCGUUAGCUUUAAAUUAUAGUUAAUGUUGUUAGGUUUCACAAAUAUUUGAUUUUAAAAUGGAAUUUAUUGAUAAAAUCUCUAAUUCUCUAAACCCCACAUUAUCCUUGAAAGAGGAAUGUGGGUAAUCAAGAUCCUAUAUUAUCCUUGAAAGAGGGAUGUAGGUGACAUAAGCAUUUGUGAACAAUACGAUAGAUAUUAGAGAUUUCCCUUUGUAUUGUCUUAGAAAUAAGGAUAGAUUGUGGAAUUGCUAUAUCUUGGGCUUCUUCCUAGAAAUAGGGAUGCCCAAUUUAUGUUUUGUAAUGAUUGGUUGACCACACCCACAAGGUAGUCGAAAGAUUCCGUGGGUGAUAGUUUGAUACUUUGUGGAAAGGCUAGUAUCAAAACCUCUAACCGAGCCUACCCACACGCAUUUUAGCUAAAAAUUGAAGUCGAUUAUCAUGUACCCACACACUAGUUGCCCCUAGUAAAUCUUACCCCAAGAUCCAUUCUUAUUGAUUAUGCUCUAAUUAUUCGUAGCCUCAAAUUAGUACUCUAGAGGCCCAAGUGCUAGUUACAUCCUUGAAAACAUGUAAAACCCCAUAAUUAUUUUGUAUUUUAGAUUUAAAUCUAGCAAGUGACUUUGAUUUCGAACCUACCCGAUUGCCACUCACAUUGUUCCUCGUGGAUUCAACCCUGAGUCAAAGUUGUGUAAUUUUAUUGACAACGACCAGUCAAAUAGGUCAAAGUACUACAAUCGGUUGGUUCUAACCACGAUCGCGGAUAAAUGUCAGCGAUUAUGGCAACACAGGAUUCUGCGCUGGGUUUGUUUUAAAAUUUCUAAAAGUCAUCCCAAAUUUUCUUUAGUGGCUCAAACCCUUUCUCAUUGGGAACAAUCCUUAAUUUUUAGAAACUCUCUUCCACCAUCUAGUUUCUAAUUUGAAGGGAACAUAUUUAUACUAAUUUUGGGAUGAAGAAUACAUUAGAAUAAGUUCUAAGAGGAGGAUUAGCAAACUCCAUUAAAGAUUUGUUGAGAUUUAAGGCUUGAAUUUGCAUUCUCUUUAUUUUUCAUGAAUUUAUUUGAUGGAGGUUUUUGUAUAUCUUUGUUUACUAUUCUCAUGAGUUGCUAGUUUUCCCUCUUAGGAUUAUGUUUGAAUAGGGUGAAAGAGUGUGUGGCUUGUGAUUGUUAGCUUUAACAUUUAGUUGAUGUUGUUGGGUUUCACAAAUGUCUGAUUUUAAAAUGGAAUUUGUUAGUGAAAGUCUCAAAUUCUCUAAACCCCACAUCAUCCUUGAAAGAGUGAUGUAGGUAAUUAGAUCCUACAUUAUCUUUGAAAGAGGGAUGUAGGUGACAUAAGCAUUUAUAAACAAUAAGAUAGAUAUUAGUGAUUUCCCUUUGUAUUGUCUUAGAAAUAAGGAUAUAUUGUGGAAUUGCUAUAUCUUGGGCAUCUUCUUAGAAAUAGGGAUGUCCAAUUAAUGUUUUGUAAUGAUUGGUUGAUCACACCCACGAGGCAGUCAAAAGAUUAUGUGGGUGAUAGUUUGAUACUUUGUUGAAAGGCUAGUAUCAAAAUCUCUAACCGAUCCUACCCACAUACACUUUAGCUAAAAUUUAAUGUUGAUUUUCUGUACCCAUACACUAGUUUCCCCUAGUAAAGCUUAGCCCCAUGAUCCAUUCUUAAUUGAUUACGCUUUAAUUAUUCGUAGCCUUUAAUUAGUGAUCUAAAGGCCCAAGUGCUAGUUACAUCCUAGAAAAUGUGUAAAACCCCCCAAUUAUUUUGUAUCUUAGGUUUAAAUCUAGCAAGCGACUUCCAUUUCAAACCUACCCGAUCUCCACUCAUAUUAUUCCUCAUGGAUUUGACCCCAACUCAAAGUUUGGUAAUUUUAUUGACAACGACCGUCUUGCACUUAAAUUGAUGUGUGAGUUGAGCGUUAUUAGAUGUGUAUAGACUAUCAUCAAUUGAAUAUGGUUAUAAUGAAGAAUAAGUACCCUUUUUCGAGGACUGGUGAUCUUUUUGGCCAACUUCAGGGUGUUAUGUGUUUCUCUAAGAUUAAUAUUCGUUUGGGCUACCAUUAGCUAAAAAUUAUGGAUGUUCAUAUUCCCAAGACUAUUUUUCAAACUCGAUGUGGCCAUUAUGAGUAUCUUUUUAUGUCAUUUAGGUUGACUAAUGCUCUGACUGCAUUCAAGGAUCUUAUGAAUCAAGUGUUUAAAUAGUUUUUGGAUUUGUUUGUUAUAGUCGUAAUUGAUGACAUCUUAGUGUACUCUAAGUAUGAGGAGGAUCAUGCAAAUCACCUCUGAAUUGUGUUACAGACUUAGAAGGACAAAAAAUUAUAUGCAAAGAUUUCUAACUAUGAAUUUUGGUUAAGUUUUGUGACCUUUCUUAGGCAUGUUAUUUCUAGUAAGGGGAUCAACGUGGAUCCGCAGAAAGUUCAGAUAGUUAAGAAGUGGCCUAGACCCAUGAAUCCAACCGACAUUAGGAGCUUCUUGGGCUUGGUUGGGUAUUAUAGGAGGUUUGUGGGGAGUUUUCUAUCUAUUACUGCCACACUGACGAAGUUAACUCAAAAAAAGGUCAAGUAUUUAUGGUCUGAUUCUUGUGAGGGUAGUUUUGAGAAGUUGAAGGAUAAGUUGACUUUUGCGCCAGUCUUUACCCUGCCCGAGGGUACUGAUUGGUUUGUCAUGUAUUGGGAUGUAUCUCAUGUGGGAAUGGGUUGGGUUUUGAAGCUGCAUGGUAAGGUUGUGGCCUAUUCUUCCAAAUAACUUAAAGUUCAAGAGAGGAAUGAUCCGACUCACGAUUUAGAGUUGGCGACUGUGGUUUUUACUUUGAUGAUCUGGCACCAUUAUCUGUAUGGGGUGCACGUGGAUAUUUAUUCAGACCAAAAAGAGCUUGCGGUAUGUAUUUACGUAAAAGGAAUUAAACCUCAGGCAAAUGAGGUAGUUGAGUUACUCUAGGAUUAUGACAUGAGCUUUCACUACUAUCCAGUUAAGAUAAUGUCAUUUUUGAUGCACUUAGCAGGUUGUCUAUGGGAAGAUUAUCUCAUGUAAAUGAAGAAAAAGAAGGUUAGUAAAGGAUAUUCAUAGGUUGGCCAACUUAGGAGUUCAUCUUUUUUACUCUAAGGAUGGGGGAGUAAUUGUUCAAGUAGUGGUUAAAUCAUAUCUUGGUGUUGAGGUAAAGGAGAAGCAGACUUUGGAUCCCAUACUUAUAUAGAUAAAGGAUGAUGUGGGUCAACAAUAGGUUAUGACAUUCAAGAUUUGGGGAGAUGAAAUUCAAAGGGAUCAAGAAAGGUUGCAUGUUUUUUAUGUUGACGGGCUAUAGGAAAGUAUUGACUGAGGCUCAUGAGUCCAGAUAUACAGUUCAUCCGAGUUCGACUAAGAUGAACCAUGACUUGGAGAAAAUCUACUGGUGGAAUAAUAUGAAGAGAGAUAUGGAAAACUUUUUGGUUAAAUGUAUGAUUUGUCAUCAAGUCAAGGUUGAACAUUUGAGGCCUAGCGGCAUGUCUCAAGAGAUAAAGUGCCCAUGUGGAAGUGGGAGAUAAUCAAUAUGGACUUUUUCACCAGUCUUCCACGGUCUCUCAAUUAGUAUGAUUCUAUUUGGGUCAUUGUGGAUAGAAUAACUAAGUCUUCUCACUUCUUGUCUGUGAGGACUAACUACUCAGGAGAGGAUUAUGCAAAGUUGUUCGUUCAGGAGAUAGUAAAGUUAGAUGGAGCAUUAGAGUCCAUUAUUUUUUACCGAGGUACGCAGUUUUCCUCUUACUUCUAGCGUUUGUUUGAGAAAGGUUUGGGUACUCAGGUGAACCUUAGCACCACUUUUCACCCUCAAACUGAUGGACAAACGGAACGGACUAUUUAGACUUUAGAAGAUAUGCUAAGUGCCUGUAUGAUUGAUUUUAA
This is a long non-coding RNA of Capsicum annuum, 14723 nucleotides long. RefSeq lists it as uncharacterized. The record is from RefSeq and is a predicted model, not a curated record. The transcript is spliced from 3 exons. NCBI's taxonomy places the organism in Eukaryota, Viridiplantae, Streptophyta, Magnoliopsida, Solanales, Solanaceae.